GUAUUGCUGGUACAUAUGUAUGAGAUGAUAUUUACGUUGGCCAUAGGAAGAAAAAUUGUUCUGAAAAAGACCCACAUGUUAACAUUUAAUAGAAUUUAAAUACCAGGCUGCCUUUUGCGAACGUAUUUCUCUGGAGAGUGUUACUUUGUGGAUGUUAUUACUAUGCUUCACAGAUAAGGAGAACGAAAUUUUGGAAUGUGAUGUCACACUAUAAUUGGAUGGUUACAUCAGAGACCUAAUGAAGAGGUACUGAAUGGAAUAGGAAAUGUGGCUAAGGAAUUUUUAGUACUUGAGAAAGCUCUGUCAUUCGAGGUGCAAGUCUUUGAAGCCUGAAAUACAUUUCAGUAAAGGUGCACAGUACCAGAUGGGAGCUGUAUACUGAUGAACAGAAGCUGUUGAUAAACACUGUUAAGCACCAUAAUGAAUAUAGUAGGCUCUGCCGUCUACUUCCUUGAAAAUGGAGGUCGCAAUGACAGUAUUGUGCGAUCAUUUGGAGAUUCCAUGCUUCCAUUGCAGUUUUCCUCGGCUUCAAGGCAAUUGUGGCAGCCGUGCAGCAGUAGAAGCAUAUUAUAUGAGGGGACAGAGAUCUUGGGACAUCAAGCACCACAUUCUCCCACUUGUAACAAGUUCAGAUUUAGCUGAGGAUAGGUGAUCAAGUGAAACUUCAAACUUAAGAUUCAGUUGGUGUUAUCUCUGCUGAGAUGUUGCACAGUUGUUUUG
Molecule: long non-coding RNA, 720 nt
Organism: Schistocerca nitens (vagrant locust)
Lineage: Eukaryota; Metazoa; Arthropoda; Insecta; Orthoptera; Acrididae
Exons: 3
Source: RefSeq, a predicted model, not a curated record